RNAcentral lists this ribosomal RNA (343 nucleotides) under Myrmecia israelensis. RNAcentral describes it as "SSU rRNA". It matches the Rfam family "Eukaryotic small subunit ribosomal RNA", at positions 1488 to 1831 of the family's 1831-position model. The record is from RNAcentral. Lineage: Eukaryota; Viridiplantae; Chlorophyta; Trebouxiophyceae; Trebouxiales; Trebouxiaceae.
CGCACGCGCGCUACACUGAUGCAAUCAACGAGCCUAUCCUUGACCGACAGGUCCGGGUAAUCUUUGAAACUGCAUCGUGAUGGGGAUAGAUUAUUGCAAUUAUUAAUCUUCAACGAGGAAUGCCUAGUAAGCGCGAGUCAUCAGCUCGCGUUGAUUACGUCCCUGCCCUUUGUACACACCGCCCGUCGCUCCUACCGAUUGGAUGUGCUGGUGAAGUGUUCGGAUUGGCGGCAGUGGGCGGUUCGCCGCUUGCUGCAGCCGAGAAGUUCUCUAAACCCUCCCAUCUAGAGGAAGGAGAAGUCGUAACAAGGUUUCCGUAGGUGAACCUGCGGAAGGAUCAUUG